GCAUUCGUGGUGUAUCGGUAACAUUGGGUCUUCCCAGACGACAAAAUUUGCAUGGCCUAGCACCGGGUUCGACUCCCGGCGGAUGCA
Non-coding RNA from Hermanssonia centrifuga, 87 nucleotides. The record is from the annotation of a GenBank genome assembly. NCBI's taxonomy places the organism in Eukaryota, Fungi, Basidiomycota, Agaricomycetes, Polyporales, Meruliaceae.